CCUACGGGUGACAGCAGUGAGGAAUAUUGGUCAAUGGGCGCGAGCCUGAACCAGCCAAGUAGCGUGAAGGAUGACUGCCCUACGGGUUGUAAACUUCUUUUAUAAAGGAAUAAAGUGAGGCACGUGUGCCUUUUUGUCUGUACUUUAUGAAUAAGGAUCGGCUAACUCCGUGCCAGCAGCCGCGGUAAUACGGUGGAUCCGAGCGUUGUCCGGAUUUAUUGGGUUUAAAGGGAGCGCAGAUGGGUUGUUAAGUCAGUUGUGAAAGUUAGCUGCUCAACCGCAAAAUGGCAAUUGAUACUGGCAGUCUUGAGUACAGUUGAGGUAGGCGGAAGUCGGGGUGUAGCGGUGAAAU
RNAcentral lists this ribosomal RNA (352 nucleotides) under uncultured bacterium. RNAcentral's name for it is "partial 16S ribosomal RNA". It matches the Rfam family "Bacterial small subunit ribosomal RNA", at positions 338 to 687 of the family's 1533-position model. The record is from RNAcentral.